AAUAUCCAAACGUGUGGCAACCCAUAUGCAUAGGUUCCCAAUGUCACAAACCCGCAAGUUGAUCACCACAAAUAGACACGUGCAAGACAUACAUCAAGUGUUCUCAAAGACUCAAUCCGAUAAGAUAACACCAAAGGGAAAACUCAAUUCAUUACAAGAGGGGAGAGGGGCAAGAACAUCAUAAGAUCCAACUAUAGUAGCAAAGCCCGCCGUACAUCGAGAUCAAGACAUCUCAAGAACACGAGAGAGAGAGAUCAAACACAUAGCUACUGGUACAUGCCCUCAGCCCCGAGGGUGAACUACUCCCUCCUCGUCAUGGAGAUCGCCGGGAUGAUGAAGAUGGCCACCGGAGAUGGAUUCCCCCUCCGGCAGGGUGCCGGAACGAGCUCCAGAUUGGUUAUUUGGUGGCUACAGAGGCUUGCGGCAGCGGAACUCCUCAUCUAGGUUUCUUUUUGGGGGUUUCUGUAUUUAUAGGAAUUUAUGGCGAUGGAAUUAUGUUGGUUGGGCCCACAAGGAGGUCACAAGCCUGGUAGGUGCGGCCUAGGGGGUCGCGCCUCCCGGGCUUGUGACUCCCUCGUGGCUCUUUUGGCCUUCUUCCAAACCUUCGAGGGUCUCUCUUGGUCCAAAAAAAUAAUCGUAAAGUUUAUUCCAUUUGGACUCUGUGUGAAAAAGGGUCAAAAACACGGAAAGAACAGAAACUUGCACUUGCUACUGAGUUAAUAGGUUAGUCCCAAAAAGAUAUAAAAUAGCAUAUUCAUGCAUAUAAAAGAUCCAAAGUUGACAAGAUAAUAGCAUGGAACCAUCAAAAAUUAUAGAUACGUUGGAGACGUAUCAGGCAACAUUAAAAUUUUAUUCUUAAAAGUGUAUAUAAAAUAUUCUCGGAUUGGGUCGAAACUUGGUGUGCGGUCUUAAUACAAUGUAGCUAGACCGUUUGUCAAAUUUUGUCGCAAUCGAAGUCCAUUUGAUACCCGAACGAUAGACCGUAGCGGCAGCGUCAUCGGUUUAUUAUCCGAUGCUUUUAGGUUUUAAAAACCCUUUCACGGGCUGUCAUAUUUCCUAUCUUCUGAAGCCCAUGGAAAUCUAUCACAGCCACCUAGCCCAUCUAAGCUCCACCUCCGUUAGUGGCCAUCGGAUCAUCGUCGAACGGACGCAAUUCAUCCCACGAGUCUCAUCCCCAUAUUUUUUGCACGCAUUUUUACUUGUUGUUAUGGCCGCUUGGGCCUAGUCCGCACUGGGCCGCUGCAGCCUACUUUAAUCCGUCCCUUGUUAUGUUUUUUCCUUUCUUUCUACCUUGGGAAGAAUUUACUAAUUAACUAGGAAAUAAAUUGUUUUACAGUUGAGUCCCUCAAGUUCAUGCAUUAAUAACUAACCAACAAUGCAUCAUAUGCAAAAACUUUAAACAUAUAAAAUGCUCAGAAUUUUGUGUAGUUUCAUAAUAUCCACCCCGCACGUGUGUUUAAAAUGUUCAAAUUGUUGUUUUAAUUUAAUUUGCUCAAAUGCCACGCUAAAACGGUUUUCAUCAAAAUUAAUUAACCGUAG
This 1539-nucleotide long non-coding RNA is filed under the name Hordeum vulgare. RNAcentral describes it as "long non-coding RNA (HVUL_LNC016253)". The record is from RNAcentral. Lineage: Eukaryota; Viridiplantae; Streptophyta; Magnoliopsida; Poales; Poaceae.